RNAcentral lists this small nucleolar RNA (133 nucleotides) under Mytilus galloprovincialis (Mediterranean mussel). Lineage: Eukaryota; Metazoa; Mollusca; Bivalvia; Mytilida; Mytilidae. The record is from RNAcentral.
UUGCAAGUUCCAGCAAGUUGUAGAUUAUACAAUAUCUUUCAACUUUCUUGAGACUUGCUAUAAUAAGAUUGAGGAUGUUUGACCUUCAUAAUCUCUUGGUGGGUUAUGGAGGGUUAGGAAUUCUCUAACAUAU